This 72-nucleotide transfer RNA is filed under the name Eucalyptus grandis. It matches the Rfam family "tRNA". From Rfam's summary of the family: Transfer RNA (tRNA) molecules are approximately 80 nucleotides in length. The record is from Rfam by way of RNAcentral. Lineage: Eukaryota; Viridiplantae; Streptophyta; Magnoliopsida; Myrtales; Myrtaceae.
AUCAGAGUGGCGCAGAGGAAACGUGGUGGGCUCAUAACCCACAGGUCCCAAGAUUGAAACUUGGUUCUGAUA